This 334-nucleotide ribosomal RNA is filed under the name uncultured Bacteroidota bacterium. RNAcentral describes it as "bacterial SSU rRNA". It matches the Rfam family "Bacterial small subunit ribosomal RNA", at positions 430 to 762 of the family's 1533-position model. Lineage: Bacteria; Pseudomonadati; Bacteroidota. The record is from RNAcentral.
CUUCUUUUAUUUGGGACGAAAAACGGGGAUUCUUCCUCACUUGACGGUACCAGAUGAAUAAGCACCGGCUAACUCCGUGCCAGCAGCCGCGGUAAUACGGAGGGUGCAAGCGUUAUCCGGAUUCACUGGGUUUAAAGGGUGCGUAGGCGGGCUGUUAAGUCAGUGGUGAAAUCUUUGGGCUUAACCCGAAAACUGCCAUUGAUACUAUCAGUCUUGAAUAUUGUGGAGGUCUGCGGAAUAUGUCAUGUAGCGGUGAAAUGCUUAGAUAUGACAUAGAACACCAAUUGCGAAGGCAGCAGGCUACGCAUAUAUUGACGCUGAGGCACGAAAGCGU